Molecule: ribosomal RNA, 253 nt
Filed under: uncultured bacterium
Lineage: Bacteria
Description: partial 16S ribosomal RNA
Rfam family: Bacterial small subunit ribosomal RNA
Source: RNAcentral
UACGGGGGGGGCAAGCGUUGUUCGGAAUUACUGGGCGUAAAGGGCUCGUAGGCGGCCAACUAAGUCAGACGUGAAAUCCCUCGGCUUAACCGGGGAACUGCGUCUGAUACUGGAUGGCUUGAGGUUGGGAGAGGGAUGCGGAAUUCCAGGUGUAGCGGUGAAAUGCGUAGAUAUCAGGAGGAACACCGGUGGCGAAGGCGGGAUCCUGGGCCAGUACUGACGCUGAGGAGCGAAAGCGUGGGGAGCAAACAGG